Molecule: long non-coding RNA, 479 nt
Filed under: Gorilla gorilla gorilla (western lowland gorilla)
Lineage: Eukaryota; Metazoa; Chordata; Mammalia; Primates; Hominidae
Description: lncRNA (ENSGGOG00000044592.1)
Source: RNAcentral
UCCUGUGUUACUGUGGAGCUUAUUUCAUCACUCAACUCUGUUGGUAUUAAGUGGUGAAUAAAGUAGACAAGAUACUAAUCCUUAUGGAGCUCUGUGUCUAGUGAACAUGAAAAAGAUAUAUGAAUGAAACAUGGUUAAGGAAAGACAUGGUUAGAGGAGAAUUGAAGGAAAGAUAGAAACCCAUGCUGCCAGGAGGAGUUGGGAUCUUUUCUGUUGUGUCUCAGAACUUCAGGGUUAAGACCCUUCCUGGGUGAUGGAUAAAGGAAGUCAUUGUCCAGAUGAAAGACUCAUGAACUUGGAGACAGGAAUGAAGCCAUUGAAGCAACUUGGACGUCGGGAAUUCACUGAAGACCAGACUAAAGAGGGGCUUGUUCUAAUAGAAAUUCAUCUAAAAAGUUGGAGAUUCUGUAGAAGAUCUGAUGAAGAGGGCCAAUCACUGAGGAAAAAUGGAUAGCAUCCUAAAACAGUGGGUAGUAAGG